RNAcentral lists this long non-coding RNA (1586 nucleotides) under Medicago truncatula (barrel medic). RNAcentral describes it as "lncRNA gene34021". The record is from RNAcentral. Lineage: Eukaryota; Viridiplantae; Streptophyta; Magnoliopsida; Fabales; Fabaceae.
UUCUCAAUUCGUCAUAAUGCAUGGUGUACCGUGGAGCUUUAUCAUUAGAGAUAUCCACAAGAUCACCUUUACUCCACAUUAGGAAUCUAACAACAUGGACGUGUUCCACUGUCUUUAGCAUCGACACAUAAUCAGAUAGACAUCAAGUUAUUCAUAGCAUCAAGGAACACAUUCAAAUCAGAAAUGCACCCCUGUCUAUCUCAAGAGUAAAGAUAGCCACCAACAAAGCGCACCACUAGAGCACAUUACUAUAAACAAAUGAUUUUCCCCCAUUACUAUUAGCACACUUCCCGAAUUUGGUAUCAAUGUGCUUUUGUAGGUACAUCUUUUCAUUUGCUAACAAAAGUGGCUUAUUACCAAUCACGAAGGAUUCAACAAUUGACGUUAAACCUUGUGUCUUUAAACAUGAUUCAUAUAUGUAAUAUAUUGUGACAUAUUUUAACAAUUUACACCUUGCCACAAUGACAUGCUAUAUUUUGACCCCCUUAAAAGUUAAAAGUGGCAUUUUUAUAUUUUCUUGUGCAAGAUAUGAGUGAAAGUCUCAAAAUGCAAACAUUUUUAUAUUUUACUGUACAAAAAUAUAAAAUGGAUAUAUUUUACUAUUCUAGGGUUCGAAGAAAACUGCGUUUGUCGAAUAAUCUGUAUGAAGUUAUUUAAUGAAACAUUUUUGUAUAAAAUAGAAAUUACGCUCAAUAGAUACAAUUUUAUUGUACGCAAUUUAGAGUUGUGUCUAAUAGAUACUUUCUUUUUUGAAAGGAUGUCUAAUAGAUACUUAGUUAAUUUUGUUUUAUCAUGAAUUUGAGUGGUGUUGUACCCACACAAAAAUGUAUUAAUUGGUUUAAUAUGUAAUUUAAAUGAUUGUAAUUGUAUCCGAUAAAUGUAUUUAUGCUUAUAAUUGUAUGCAUAUUGAGUAAAAAAAAACUUUAUACAUAUUAUAAUUACAUUGUCAUCAUUUAGUAAUAAUGAUUUUACAUAACCACAUUACAUUUAUUUGUUGCAGUUCAUUUAUAAUUAUACAAGCAGUGACAUUUCAUUCUCCGUAUAUCUUGUACCAACAAACCACUAAUAACAACACUUGCAUAAUAUAGGCAAUAUGCGUAGCCGUCUGUCAAAUAGAUUAAAGGUUAGUGGGUGAGAAUUGAAUUAUGCAAGAAAUCAUAAGAGUAACAACAUGUUGAAAUAUAAUUAUGGAUCUAGAAGUAAUUAAAUUAUUUGUCAACUUAACUGUUUAAUAACAAAAACAAACAUUCAAAAUGCACAUUGCCAUUUGAUCGUCAGCACAAAUUUCUAGACAGUCUUCAUCCUUUUCACAUUUGUGAAAAGCUAUAAUAUAAACCAUAAAAUAAAUAAUGUCAAUUCAAAGUGAUGAAAUGUUUCCUUAAAAAAAAGGGAUGAACGUUGUUUAUAAAAUUAAAAAUAAUGUGAUAAAAACGACUAACGGAAAUCUUCGGCUAUAACAUGAAGUAGGAAAAGAUAUAGGAUCAUAGUAUAAACAAACUUGAGAACCGCAUCCAUGUUUAUUAUUCUUUGCUUGUACCUAAAAGAAAUUUGAUCGAUCACUUUCUAAUUUUUAGCAUAUAUAUAUU